Molecule: transfer RNA, 86 nt
Filed under: Bacteriophage sp.
Also listed under: 1 other name
Description: tRNA-Leu
Rfam family: tRNA
About the family: Transfer RNA (tRNA) molecules are approximately 80 nucleotides in length.
Source: RNAcentral
GCCCGAAUGGUGGAAUUGGUAGACACGUCAGAUUUAAGCUCUGAUGCCCAGUAAUGGGCGUGUGGGUUCGAGUCCCACUUCGGGUA